Long non-coding RNA from Oncorhynchus keta (chum salmon), 1909 nucleotides. RefSeq lists it as uncharacterized. The record is from RefSeq and is a predicted model, not a curated record. NCBI's taxonomy places the organism in Eukaryota, Metazoa, Chordata, Actinopteri, Salmoniformes, Salmonidae. The transcript has 4 exons.
UUAGAGUGUAGGGGCGGCAGGUAGCCUAGUAGUUAGAGUGUAGGGGCAGCAGGUAGCCUAGUAGUUAGGGUGUAGGGGCGGCAGGUAGCCUAGUGGUUAGAGUGUAGGGGCGGCAGGUAGCCUAGUGGUUAGAGUGUAGGGGCGGCAGGUAGCCUAGUGGUGAGAGUGUAGGGGCGGCAGGUAGCCUAGUGGUUAGAGUGUAGGGGCGGCAGGUAGCCUAGUGGUUAGAGUGUAGGGGCGGCAGGUAGCCUAGUGGUUAGAGUGUAGGGGCGGCAGGUAGCCUAGUGGUUAGAGUGUAGGGGCGGCAGGUAGCCUAGUGGUUAGAGUGUAGGGGCAGCAGGUAGCCUAGUGGUUAGAGUGUAGGGGCGGCAGGUAGCCUAGUGGUUAGAGUGUAGGGGCGGCAGGUAGCCUAGUGGUUAGAGUGUAGGGGCGGCAGGUAGCCUAGUGGUUAGAGUGUAGGGGCGGCAGGUAGCCUAGUGGUUAGAGUGUAGGGGCGGUAGGUAGCCUAGUGGUUAGAGUGUAGGGGCGGCAGGUAGCCUAGUGGUUAGAGUGUAGGGGCGGCAGGUAGCCUAGUGGUUAGAGUGUAGGGGCGGCAGGUAGCCUAGUGGUUAGAGUGUAGGGGCGGUAGGUAGCCUAGUGGUUAGAGUGUAGGGGCGGCAGGUAGCCUAGUGGUUAGAGUGUAGGGGCGGCAGGUAGCCUAGUGGUUAGAGUGUAGGGGCGGCAGGUAGCCUAGUGGUUAGAGUGUAGGGGCGGCAGGUAGCCUAGUGGUUAGAGUGUAGGGGCGGCAGGUAGCCUAGUGGUUAGAGUGUAGGGGCGGUAGGUAGCCUAGUGGUUAGAGUGUAGGGGCGGCAGGUAGUCUAGUGGUUAGAGUGUAGGGGCGGCAGGUAGCCUAGUGGUUAGAGUGUAGGGGCGGUAGGUAGCCUAGUGGUUAGAGUGUAGGGGCGGUAGGUAGCCUAGUGGUUAGAGUGUAGGGGCGGUAGGUAGCCUAGUGGUUAGAGUGUAGGGGCGGCAGGUAGCCUAGUGGUUAGAGUGUAGGGGCGGCAGGUAGCCUAGUGGUUAGAGUGUAGGGGCGGCAGGUAGCCUAGUGGUUAGAGUGUAGGGGCGGCAGGUAGCCUAGUGGUUAUAGUGUAGGGGCGGCAGGUAGCCUAGUGGUGAGAGCGUUGGGCCACUAACCGUAAAGGUUGCUAGAUCGAAUAGCUGACAAGGUAAAAAUCUGUUGUCCUGCUCCUGAACAAGGCAGUUCAACCCACUGUUCCUAGACCACCGUCAUUGUAAAUAAUAAUUUGUUCUUAAAUAAAGCUUCAAUAAUCAACAGACACAACAAGCCUUUAUUUAUCUGGACACAUUCUCUGUUGACCGCCAAGCCCAACACAGUCUUUCAUUUGUGUAGGUUGUAAUGUUCUCUAUCAACAGAACGUACAAGAGUGAUUUUAACAGAGGACCACCAGACGAAACAGAGAUACAAAAGAAAAGUCUAUGUUUGUCAGAUGUCAGACAGAAAGAGAAAAGUCUAUGUUUAUCUUUGUCAGAUGUCAGACUGAAAGAGAAAAGUCUAUGUUUAUCUUUGUCAGACUGAAAAAGAAAAGUCUAUGUUUAUGUUUGUCAGACUGAAAGAGAAAAGUCUAUGUUUAUCAGAUGUCAGACUGAAAGAGAAAAGUCUAUGUUUAUCAGAUGUCAGACUGAAAGAGAAAAGUCUAUGUUUAUCUUUGCAGAUGUCAGACUGAAAGAGAAAAGUCUAUGUUUAUCUUUGUCAGAUGUCAGACUGAAAGAGAAAAGUCUAUGUUUAUCUUUGUCAGAUGUCAGACUGAAAAAGAAAAGUCUGUGUUUAUCUUUGUCAGAUGUCAGACUGAAAGAGAAAAGUCUAUGUUUAUCUUUGCAGAUGUCAGACUGCGGUAUGUUGCCCCAAACA